This 460-nucleotide ribosomal RNA is filed under the name uncultured bacterium. Its description in RNAcentral is "partial 16S ribosomal RNA". It matches the Rfam family "Bacterial small subunit ribosomal RNA", at positions 338 to 795 of the family's 1533-position model. The record is from RNAcentral.
CCUACGGGCGGCAGCAGUGAGGAAUAUUGGUCAAUGGGCGGAAGCCUGAACCAGCCAAGUAGCGUGCAGGAUGACGGCCCUACGGGUUGUAAACUGCUUUUAUCCGGGAAUAACGCGCCUUACGUGUCGCGCUUUGCAUGUACCGUAUGAAAAAGGACCGGCUAAUUCCGUGCCAGCAGCCGCGGUAAUACGGAGGGUCCGGGCGUUAUCCGGAUUUAUUGGGUUUAAAGGGAGCGUAGGCCGCAUGUCAAGCGUGAUGUGAAAUGUCCGGGCUCAACCCCGGCCUUGCAGUGGAAACUGGGGUGCUUGAGUGCGCGGGAAGCAGGCGGAAUUCGUGGUGUAGCGGUGAAAUGCUUAGAUAUGACGAAGAACCCCGAUUGCGAAGGCAGCUUGCUGCAGCGGAACUGACGCUGAUGCUCGAAAGCGCGGGUAUCGAACAGGAUUAGAUACCCCUGUAGUC